GGGGAUGUAAUGGUUUCGACGGGGAUGGAUGACGUUCGAUAAGCGAGCGGCGGGCUCCUCGAACCGCCUUAGCAAGGGGAAAACUUAAUCAUAACUGCGAACGAAGAGUACGCACUGGCGGCUUAACGCCACGUCGCCCGACUGAUUCCGCCCGUCAGGUCGGUCGCGACGCCAACAACGGGCUCACCGCGCUUGAGAGCACUGCAGGGCGCGGGAACUUCCAAAGUGCUGGGUCGUGCGAAGGUUGUCAUUGAACUUCGUCCGGCUGAGAUCGAUCAAUGACUGCGCUCGGAGAAAGUCUUGCGGCAACAUUUUCGGACAGGAGUUCGAUUCUCCUCAUCUCCACCA
RNAcentral lists this transfer-messenger RNA (348 nucleotides) under Selenomonadaceae. RNAcentral's name for it is "Quinella sp015206785 Standard tmRNA". It matches the Rfam family "transfer-messenger RNA". From Rfam's summary of the family: Bacterial tmRNA, also known as 10Sa RNA or SsrA, is named for its dual tRNA and mRNA-like properties. Its role is to liberate the mRNA from a stalled ribosome. Lineage: Bacteria; Bacillati; Bacillota; Negativicutes; Selenomonadales. The record is from RNAcentral. RNAcentral also lists the same sequence under 1 other name.